GGGCGUAGGUCAUUGAUCCUCGGGGGGAGGUUUGACACUUCUCGUUUUCCUAAGUCGUUGAGAAGUCGCGGAAAUUGGCUGACUCUUAAUCAGCGGGUCCAAGGUUCGAGUCCUUGUGCGCCCACCA
This 127-nucleotide transfer RNA is filed under the name Rhodoplanes tepidamans. Its description in RNAcentral is "tRNA-OTHER". Lineage: Bacteria; Pseudomonadati; Pseudomonadota; Alphaproteobacteria; Hyphomicrobiales; Nitrobacteraceae. The record is from RNAcentral. RNAcentral also lists the same sequence under 1 other name.